UACGUAGGGUGCGAGCGUUAAUCGGAAUUACUGGGCGUAAAGUGUGCGCAGGCGGCCGAGCAAGUCGAGUGUGAAAGCCCCGAGCUUAACUUGGGAACUGCGCUCGAAACUACUUGGCUAGAGUGUGGCAGAGGGAGGUGGAAUUCCACGUGUAGCGGUGAAAUGCGUAGAGAUGUGGAGGAACACCAAUGGCGAAGGCAGCCUUCUGGGCCAACACUGACGCUCAUGCACGAAAGCGUGGGGAGCAAACAGG
Molecule: ribosomal RNA, 253 nt
Filed under: uncultured bacterium
Lineage: Bacteria
Description: partial 16S ribosomal RNA
Rfam family: Bacterial small subunit ribosomal RNA
Source: RNAcentral